CUUCGCCGCCCGUGACUCGGCGAGAAGUCCAUUGAACCUUAUCAUUUAGAGGAAGGAGAAGUCGUAACAAGGUUUCCGUAGGUGAACCUGCGGAAGGAUCAUUG
RNAcentral lists this ribosomal RNA (104 nucleotides) under Trichoceros antennifer. RNAcentral describes it as "partial 18S ribosomal RNA". It matches the Rfam family "Eukaryotic small subunit ribosomal RNA", at positions 1729 to 1831 of the family's 1831-position model. The record is from RNAcentral. Lineage: Eukaryota; Viridiplantae; Streptophyta; Magnoliopsida; Asparagales; Orchidaceae.